RNAcentral lists this long non-coding RNA (335 nucleotides) under Fukomys damarensis (Damara mole-rat). RNAcentral's name for it is "lncRNA (ENSFDAG00000029140.1)". Lineage: Eukaryota; Metazoa; Chordata; Mammalia; Rodentia; Bathyergidae. The record is from RNAcentral.
GCUUCGGCUGCAAGAGGCAGACUUCAGCCGUGGCUCCCGCGCUCGCUCUGAGUCCCCGCGCUCGGCUAGGAUGGAAGAAAUCUGUCAGGGACCCUCCUUCUUGGCAGUAGUAACGUUUAAAAGGAAGACAUUUGCCAACUGUCUUGCCAAGAGCGGAAGCCUACAGAAGGCUGUUAGGAAUCAGGUGAGAAACUGCUAAUUUCCUCAUGGGUAGCAGUGCCCCUUUUACACCUUCACUGUUCCUCUUAACCUGUGUUCUGGGGUAGCUUCCAUCCUGUCAUGGGUGAAGUAUUACCCAUCUUCGUGGCCUUGCCCAAUACAGAACCUGAUACCCA